GGGUUAGACUAAAGGGCCUAGUUAUAUUAUUAAGGUAAAAAGGUGGUUAAAUAUUUAAUUAGUGGUGGUUUUAUAACUAUACUAUAGAAAAGUGAAAUUUGAAUAUAGAUAAAUAAAUCGAAAAUGACCAAAAUGCGUUGAAUCCACUAUAGCUUUGAGGGAAACUGGGAUUUGAUACCCCACUAUUCUUAGCUGUAAAUAAAUAUUAAGUUUACCAGAGCACUAUGAAUAUUAAAAUUUAAAACUCAAAGAGCUUGGCGGUGUUUUAGACUACUUAGGGGAACCUGUCUCGUAAUCGAUAAUCCACGGUAUACCUUACCUUUUGUUGAAAUCAGCUUGUACACCGUUGUCAUCAGGUAACUUUUUAGAAAAACUAAGUUAGCAACAAAAUUUAUAAUAAAUUUAAAUGUCAAAUCAAGGUGCAGCCAAUGAAAAGGAGAGGAUGGGUUACAAUUAAGAUUUAUAAAACGGAUCAAGCAAUGCAAUUUGCUUGUGAAGGAGGACUUAAAAGUAAUGCUAUAUAUAUAAAUAGUUUGAAUAAAGCUCUGAAAUGUGUACUAACCCCCG
Molecule: ribosomal RNA, 567 nt
Filed under: Merica sinensis
Lineage: Eukaryota; Metazoa; Mollusca; Gastropoda; Neogastropoda; Cancellariidae
Description: partial 12S ribosomal RNA
Rfam family: Microsporidia small subunit ribosomal RNA (bases 218-567)
Source: RNAcentral